UUGAUGUUUUCAGAAACACUGCUGUUUAAUGUUCUAUUGUAGCCCUUCUGGACCUGAUAUCCUUCCGUGCUAGUGAGAGACAGAGAAACAUGGAGCAACUUGAGACCAUUUCAGGCUCUGAGGUGAACAGCACAGAUCGUCUGAUGAUGGAGCCUCUGGCAGCAUUGGAAAGGCAUUUCAGAGCUCAGCAGCAGAACAAUCUCACUGGGGACCCAGAGUGCCUGAGAGAAGACAUUUGCUGGGCUGCUCCUUUCUCAUGCUGUGUAUGGUUCAUGGUUAAGCCAGUGACGCAGGAGUAGAAAGAAAAUUUUGGAUUAUGAGAUCCUGCUGCCUGCUACGAAGGAAAAGCACGCCACAUAACCCUCCUCGUAUCUUCAUCAAGCUGUAUUUUAAAAUCAAGAAACUCACUGGCCCUCAGUGUUGUCUUGUGAGGCUUGCCUUAUUCAGU
Long non-coding RNA from Cygnus olor (mute swan), 448 nucleotides. RefSeq lists it as uncharacterized. The record is from RefSeq and is a predicted model, not a curated record. Lineage: Eukaryota; Metazoa; Chordata; Aves; Anseriformes; Anatidae. The transcript has 3 exons.